AAAAUUAACAGAUAGAUCAUUAACGAGUAGAUAAAGUGA
Molecule: non-coding RNA, 39 nt
Filed under: Trypanosoma brucei brucei
Lineage: Eukaryota; Euglenozoa; Kinetoplastea; Trypanosomatida; Trypanosomatidae
Source: RNAcentral